UUGACCUCAAAUCAGGUAGGACUACCCGCUGAACUUAAGCAUAUCAAUAAGCGGAGGAAAAGAAACUAACAAGGAUUCCCCUAGUAACUGCGAGUGAAGCGGGAAGAGCUCAAAUUUGAAAUCUGGCGGCUCUUUGACCGUCCGAGUUGUAAUCUAGAGAAGUGCUACCCGUGCUGGACUGUGUACAAGUCUCCUGGAAUGGGGCAUCAUAGAGGGUGAGAAUCCCGUCUUUGACACGGACUGCCAGUGCGCCCUGGGUGUGCUCUCGAAGAGUCGAGUUGUUUGGGAAUGCAGCUCAAAAUGGGUGGUAAAUGCCAUCUAAAGCUAAAUAUUGGCGAGAGACCGAUAGCGAACAAGUACCGUGAGGGAAAGAUGAAAAGAACUUUGGAAAGAGAGUUAAACAGUACGUGAAAUUGCUGAAAGGGAAACGCUUGGAGUCAGUCGCGUUGGCCAGAAAUCAGCCUUGCUCCUGCUUGGUGUACUUUCUGGUCUUUUACGGGUCAGCAUCAAUCUUGACCGCCGGACAAAGUCUUUGGGAAUGUGGCAUCUUUUGGAUGUGUUAUAGCCCAGGGUCGCAUACGGCGGCUGGGAUUGAGGAACUCAGCACGCCCGCAAGGGAUGGGUCCUUGGACCACAAAUUUUUUUCGUGCUUAGGAUGCUGGCAUAAUGGCUUCAAUCGACCCGUC
RNAcentral lists this ribosomal RNA (686 nucleotides) under Inocybe xanthomelas. Its description in RNAcentral is "eukaryotic LSU rRNA". It matches the Rfam family "Eukaryotic large subunit ribosomal RNA", at positions 1 to 653 of the family's 3401-position model. The record is from RNAcentral. Lineage: Eukaryota; Fungi; Basidiomycota; Agaricomycetes; Agaricales; Inocybaceae.